Molecule: RNA transcript, 5401 nt
Organism: Pongo pygmaeus (Bornean orangutan)
Lineage: Eukaryota; Metazoa; Chordata; Mammalia; Primates; Hominidae
Gene name: beta-1,4-galactosyltransferase 3-like
Exons: 3
Source: RefSeq, a predicted model, not a curated record
GCUUCCUGGCACUGUGCCUGAAUAGAGGGUGGAGUGUGGCAAGGGAAGAAACAGAACAGUGAGGAGGCUCCUGCAGUGAUGCGGGUGAGGAGUAACGGUAGCUCGGAGCAGAAUGGAGGCGGUGGAAGUGGAGAGAAGUGGUUAGAUUCUGGGCCUCUUCUGGCGAUAGAGACGAUGAGAUUCACACAAGACUUAGUUGGUGGAGGGAAGCGGAUGAGAGAAACAGAACACUGGCGACCAUUCCAAGGUUUUGGCUUGAGCACUUGGAUGGACAGUUAGUGGGGAGGAGGCGGAAAGAUUGUGAGAGGAGCAGGUUUAGGACAGAGAAUCUGGGAUUUCGUUUGGAUGUGGUAGAUUUGAGGUCCUUUGCUCUGUAAGGUCUUUCCUGAACCCUGGGCUGGGUCCAGCACCUCCUCUGGGUUCCCACAGCCUCCUGAGCACCCCCUGGGCCAGCCCUGACCACUCUGUGUUGUAACCAGGACAGAGGAGGGUGCGCUCGCACUGCACCCAAGUUGAAGGGCGAGAGCGAGAAGGUGUCAGGCUGGGCCGCAGAAUCCAAAGCGGGUCAGCAGGUACAACAGCUGCUUAAGGCACUCCUACACGGAGAGAGGGAUUGAGAGAUCACGGAAAAGGGUGCCAUCUUUCCAGGGACGCCUACCAGAACGCGGGGGAGAGAAAUACAGAGACCCUCAACUCCUCCACGUCAUCGCGACAAAGGGCCAGGACCGGCCGGCCGCGGGAUGGGCGCUCACCUGGGCAGAACUGGAGCUGGAAGGACCAACCUCCAAGGAAACGGGGAGCGGACGGAAGGACUACGACUCCCGGAAGGCUUUGGGCCCAUCCGCCUACGACUCCCAGGUGCCCCUGCGUUGCUUCGCCCUGAGACACUUGCGGCUCUCGGACAAACUGGGCCUACAGUCCCCCAGAGAUCCUCGCGGCAGCGCUGCAGUGCGCACGCCUCCCAGAGUGCACUAGGCCGGUCCGGCCCGCUUCCCGUCUGCGCCUGCGCGAGCACAAUCGCCGUGCUAGAGUUCUCUGCUAGCUGCUGUGCACCGCUGUCAGUGCACAGACGGGAUGGACUUUUUUUUCACAUUUUCUGCUGUUGUGGGAGUAUGGCAAGAGUUUGAGGGGGCGGAGAAAGGGAUUGGGAAUGUGAAAAGGGAAGAUAGCACCUGCGCUAAGCACAUUCCUAGGAUUGGGCCGCCUCUCGGGGAUGCAGAGUGGGCUCUUCCGCGCGCCCUGCAGCCAUGGGAGUGGACGCCUGCCCAGGCCGAGGGGCAAGGACUUGCGGGGUGGGGUCUCUGUGCAUGCGCGGAGCUGAAAGGGAGCGUUUUGCAGAUCUCCAUGCGUGCGCAACUCUCGGGACGUGGACGCGGUGAACAGUUACGCACAAUCGUCUUUCUGACACAAACACCUUGCCAGGUGGAAGCCAGGAUGGAGCGCAUGUGAGAACCGUAAGGCAAGAUCCCAAAACCAAGGAACGGAGCACUCUCCCCGCUUGCUCCCCAGAUCCAAGCCCUCCACUUCCUUCCAAUGUCCCCCUUCCCGAAACUGCUCCCUCUUGUAUAUUCUGAGAUCUUAUCUCUUUUCCCGUGAGGCCCUUGAUAAGGAGGAUUGAGAGUGAAGGGUGAUGGGAGACACGCCUCGGGCGUCUUCUGCCCACCUCAAGGAUUGAACUUUGGUAAUUGGAACUCAUUCAUUUGUUAAUCUGUGUGCUAGGCCCUUUCACCGGCUGGCCAGAUGCACCGGGACACAGGUGUAUUCAGCCUGGUCCAGAGAUAAGGAUGAUAAAUCUUAAUGUGAAGGUAUCAGAUGUUAAGGGCUGCGGAAGCCCAGAGGUUACAAGUGCUGCAAGCCAGGACAUGGGGAAACAACAGCAAUUAAGCCGUUAGCUUGUGCCAGACGCUGUGCCCCGUGCAGUUUCCACACAGUCUCAGAAGGGCAUGCUGGAUAAGAGAUAUCGUUAUGGCCGUGUUUAGAAUAAAUCCAAUUGGGCAUGAAGGGAAUAAGCAUGGAUGGGGGUCCUCAGUGGAAGAGGGAAUUGAGAGAUACUGCCUUCCAAGAAGGAAGGUGGUCUGAGAUGCAGUGAGAGUGGACAGCCUGCGAACCAUCCAGGAGGAGACAGCUGGGAGGCAGUUUGGGGUUGGCGCUCAAAAGGCAGAUUCAGGACCACUGGAGUCCCUAGGAAGGAAAGCAACAGGAGGUGAUGAACUUGCUGAGAGAAGAGUGAGAAACAUGGGAACCAGAACGAGGCCCAGAGGAUCAUAUUUAAUCAGGGGGGAGAUGAGAUGGCCUCUUGAAGGUGAUCAUCCCAGAGAACCUGACAAUGGAGAAGGUGGUAGAGAAGAACCCACUGGUGAAGCUGGGAGGUCAAUACCAGCCACCUGACUGCUGGGCACAGCACCACACAGCGGUAGUGGUGCCCUACUAUGGGCAAAACCAGCACCUGAAGUACCUGCUCUUCCACCUGCACCCCUUCCUGCAGUGCCAACAACUGCACUACGUCAUCAUCUAGGUGGUGAACCAGAUGGCCCCUCAAAGGUGAUAAUCCUCGAGAACAUUGGAGAUGGCCAGAGGAGGGAAGCUGAGAUGCUGAAAUUACUGACUUUGACUUGGAUGGAGGUGGGAAAUACAAGAGAAGUUUCUCAGGGGAGUAACCUUUGCAUUGCAUCGUCCUUGACAAGUCUGGGUUUUCUAACUACACAGUGGGAAAGAGAAGACAUUCAAGGUGGGGGAAUGGCACUUGAGAAGGCGAAAAAGGACUGGCCUGGUAGGUGGGGGAACACUGCUGCCUGAUGGUGGGGACAGCUCUGAGCAUCUGUGUCCACCCCAGGUAAACAACACUGCCUUCAACCAGGGCAGGCUAUGCAACGUGGGGUUCUGGGAGGCUAUACAGGAGGAGGACUGGGACUGUGUCUUCUUCCACGAUGUAAACCUGCUCCCAGAUGACUGCAACCUCUACACCUGUGACUUCAUCCCUGCCCAUGUGUCUGUGGCCAUUAACAAGUUCAACUACAAGUAGGUGGAGGGAGGGAACCUCCUGUGGGGGACUGCUGGCCAGGCCUUGCCUUUCCCUGCAUCUCACCCUGCCUAUCUGUGCAGUAAGGUUGAAGUCAAGGGUCCAUCCCUUGGUCCCUGUGGCUGAGGUAGGGAGGGAAUGGGUGAUGGGAUGUGGGGAAACCCUUACAGAUGGUGAACCUUCCUCUGAGACAUGGGUGUCAAGUGGGGGUGGGGGUGGUUAUUGAUAGAAAAGUCAGAAGAUGUGCUUAAUAAAGUGGUGAGCUGAGAGGUUGUUAUGGAGGUCAGAGGACAGGAACAUAGGAGAGGUCUGACUAGGGGUGAGAAAGGAGCUAUCCUAGGGUUCUGGGGAGAAGGGGCCAUCAACACAGUCACAAGAUGGGCCAGCCAGAUGACUUAGAAGAGGGGAUACCUAAGAGUCGGGUGAGGGCCAUCCCAAGGGUCAGUGGAAGGGUUACCCUGGGGUCAGAAAAGGGGACAUCCCAGGCUCAAGAUGGGACUAUCACAGGGGUCAGGGGAGAGGACAUCACAGGGUAAGUGGAAAAGGGCCAAUCUAGAAACAGACCUUGUAGAUCCUGGCCAGGAAAGGGCCGGGGCCCUCCCCUACAAGGAAAGUUGUGCUUCCGACUUUCUGCCUCCCCGACUUUCUGCCUCUAGGCUGCCCCACCCAGGCCACCUUGGAGGGGUGUUUGCCGUGCACCCCACGCACUACCUGAAGAUAAAUGGCUUCUCCAACAUGUACUGGGGUUGGGAUGAUGAGGAUGACAUCACUGCCAGGUGGGGGGCAGGAGCUGCAGGUCCUGACAUGAUGAGGCAGGUAUGGGCCACCCUGGGCUGAGGGGGACAUGGGCUACCCUGGACUGGAGGGCUGGGCUGUGGCAUGGGGACCCUGUCAGAGACAGGUGUUUGGCCUCCAUGCCUUCCUGUGUCUCUGGAAGGGUGAAACUAAGCGGGAUGCUCCUCUCCCGGCCCCACCUGCUUUUUAGACGCUACCAUAUGCUGGAGGGGGAAGACCCUGGCCACAAGCAGAGGCCUUGGAGGUGAAUCAGUGUUGGAAGUGGGGUGGUUGGUUCUGGGUCCUCCCUGAGGCUCACAUGACUGCCCCUCCCCAUCCUCUAGGCCUCGCCUUCUGUCCCAGAUCCGCCAAUCCUCCGAUCCCUCGAUCCUCCAAUGAUGGCAUCAACUCUCUGGGCUACAGGCUGCUCUCCAAAGAGCGGUUGCCCCUCUACACCAACCUCACUGUGGACAUAACUUCCAAGCCUCAGGAGACCCAGUGCCAAGCUGAGGGGUAUCUUAUCUGGAAGCCAGAACAGAGCCCCUGAGGGCAAGGUCACAGGGAAGCCCUCCCACUCACCCCACCUUGUUUCUUAUUAAGGUAGAGUUUAUUUUAUCUCCUUUUUGCCAUCCCUAGUUCCUUCCUUCCAUCCAUCCAUCUUCUUUCCCUUCCCUCCCUUCCUCCCUUCUCCUUCUCCUCCUCCCCACCACCCCUGCUUCUUUUCUCUCUUCUUUCAACUAUGUCCAGAAGGUCCUUCUUAACAAACACUAAUUAGUACAGGCAAAGGUCUCUUUAAGUGAAUGCAUUUAAAGUAGGGAGUCCACCUUUGUGGUAAAUAGUGUGCACGAGGUGAGUCUGGAUCAGGACUUCACACUUGAUAACAGAAUUCAGUUUCUCAAAAUACCUUUAUUUCAGAUUUAAUGAAAUUCCAUGUUUGUUGAAUCGUUAAGAACGAGCAUUUGUGUUGUACUCACGGUGGACAGCCACCAUUCUAAUGCUUGACUUUACAUAAUUAACGCAUGUAAUAUGCAAAGGAGCCACAAGGUGAGAUCUAUUAUUAUUCCCAUUGUGCCGCUGGAGAAAUUAAGGCAGAGAGGUUAAGUUGCUUGCCACCAAACUAGCGAGGGGCAGAGCUGGGAUGUGUAGCAUCCAGGUAGGCUGGCUCCAGAGCCCAUGAGCCUAACUGCUACUGUGCCCAACCUUUGUGCUAAUCCCCACAACAGUCAAAGGAUGGAUCAAGUACUGGUUUUGGGGGUGGGGGCAGGGGACUCCGGGCAGUAUGUUUUCUGAUCACAUCACAUGACAGUAGGACAUUCUUCAUUUCACCAUGGCUUUCACUGCCCAACAAUAAAAAGGUCAUGGGCACUUUGGGAGGCUGAGGGGGGCGGAUCACAAGGUCAGGAGAUCAAGAUCAUCCUGGCUAACAUGGUGAAACCCUGUCUCUAUUAAAAAUACAAAAAAUUAGCCGGGCGUGGUGGUGGGUGCCUGUAGUCCCAACUACUCGGGAGGCUGAGGCAGGAGAAUGGCGUGAACCCGGGAGAUGGAGCUUGCAGUGAGCCGAGAUUGCGCCACUGCACUCCAGAGCCUGGGCAACAGAGCAAGACUCCA